Molecule: ribosomal RNA, 253 nt
Filed under: uncultured bacterium
Lineage: Bacteria
Description: partial 16S ribosomal RNA
Rfam family: Bacterial small subunit ribosomal RNA
Source: RNAcentral
UACAGAGGGGGCAAGCGUUGUUCGGAAUUACUGGGCGUAAAGGGCGCGUAGGCGGCCUUCUAAGUCAGACGUGAAAUCCCCGGGCUCAACCCGGGAACUGCGUCUGAUACUGGAAGGCUUGAAUCCGGGAGAGGGAUGUGGAAUUCCAGGUGUAGCGGUGAAAUGCGUAGAUAUCUGGAAGAACACCAAAGGCGAAGGCAGCGUCCUGGCAAGUUCCUGACGCUCAGGUGCGAAAGCUAGGGGAGCGAACGGG